AAUUGAACUGAUUUUAUUGAACUG
RNAcentral lists this non-coding RNA (24 nucleotides) under Cricetulus griseus (Chinese hamster). The record is from RNAcentral. Lineage: Eukaryota; Metazoa; Chordata; Mammalia; Rodentia; Cricetidae.